This 253-nucleotide ribosomal RNA is filed under the name uncultured bacterium. RNAcentral describes it as "partial 16S ribosomal RNA". It matches the Rfam family "Bacterial small subunit ribosomal RNA", at positions 524 to 776 of the family's 1533-position model. The record is from RNAcentral.
UACAGAGGGGGCAAGCGUUGUUCGGAAUUACUAGGCGUAAAGGGCGCGUAGGCGGCCUGUUAAGUCGAACGUGAAAUCCCCGGGCUCAACCCGGGAACUGCGUCCGAUACUGGCAGGCUUGAAUCCGGGAGAGGGAUGCGGAAUUCCAGGUGUAGCGGUGAAAUGCGUAGAUAUCUGGAGGAACACCGGUGGCGAAGGCGGCAUCCUGGACCGGCAUUGACGCUGAGGCGCGAAAGCUAGGGGAGCAAACGGG